CUACGGGGUGCUCCAGUGGGGAAUAUUGCACAAUGGAGGAAACUCUGAUGCAGCAACGCCGCGUGGAGGAUGACACUUUUCGGAGCGUAAACUCCUUUUAUAUAGGAAGAAGAUGACGGUACUAUAUGAAUAAGCGCCGGCUAAGUCCGUGCCAGCAGCCGCGGUAAUACGAAGGGCGCAAGCGUUACUCGGAAUCACUGGGCGUAAAGAGCGUGUAGGCGGAUUAAAAAGUCAGAAGUGAAAUCCUAUAGCUUAACUAUAGAACUGCUUCUGAAACUCUUAAUCUAGAAUGUGGGAGAGGUAGAUGGAAUUUCUGGUGUAGGGGUAAAAUCCGUAGAGAUCAGAAGGAAUACCGAUUGCGAAGGCGAUCUACUAGAACAUUAUUGACGCUGAGACGCGAAAGCGUGGGGAGCAAACAGGAUUAGAUACCCCAGUAGUC
Molecule: ribosomal RNA, 439 nt
Filed under: uncultured bacterium
Lineage: Bacteria
Description: partial 16S ribosomal RNA
Rfam family: Bacterial small subunit ribosomal RNA
Source: RNAcentral